GAGUUUGAUCUUGGCUCAGGACGAACGCUGGCGGCGUGCUUAACACAUGCAAGUCACGGGGGCUCGCAAGGGCAACCGGCGAACGGGUGCGUAACACGUGAGCAAUCUGCCGAUUUCUGGGGGAUAGCCGGCCCAACGGCCGGGUAAUACCGCAUACGCUCAUUGAGGGGAGUCCCUUGAUGAGGAAACCUCCGGGGGAAAUCGAGGAGCUCGCGGCCUAUCAGCUAGUUGGCGGGGUAAUGGCCCACCAAGGCAGCGACGGGUAGCUGGUCUGAGAGGAUGGCCAGCCACAUUGGGACUGAGAGACGGCCCAGACUCCUACGGGAGGCAGCAGUGGGGAAUCUUGCGCAAUGGCCGAAAGGCUGACGCAGCGACGCCGCGUGUGGGAUGAAGCAUUUCGGUGUGUAAACCACUGUUGCCCGGGACGAACCUCCUCUUUCGAGAGGACUGACGGUACCGGGUGAGGAAGCACCGGCUAACUCCGUGCCAGCCGCCGCAGUAAG
This 503-nucleotide ribosomal RNA is filed under the name uncultured Gemmatimonadota bacterium. RNAcentral describes it as "bacterial SSU rRNA". It matches the Rfam family "Bacterial small subunit ribosomal RNA", at positions 9 to 524 of the family's 1533-position model. Lineage: Bacteria; Pseudomonadati; Gemmatimonadota. The record is from RNAcentral.